GGCAAAUUUGGCAUGUGAUACCUUUUCGGAAAGCCCAGAGUGAGUCCUUCUGAUGAAAGAAGUCGGACAAUGGAACAUAUCCAUUGAUUUUUUGUCGAACUCCAAAUUUUGAACCUUUAGUUAAGGCGUGCUUGAGGCGAGAGUAGUAACUAGGAUGGGUGAACCUCCCGGGAAGUCCUUCGUGUUGCGUCCCUCUUUUUUUUUUUUUUUUUUUUGGUUAAAACUUUAUGACUCCAUAACUUAUAUACAG
RNAcentral lists this ribosomal RNA (250 nucleotides) under Arabidopsis thaliana (thale cress). The record is from RNAcentral. Lineage: Eukaryota; Viridiplantae; Streptophyta; Magnoliopsida; Brassicales; Brassicaceae.